UACCCUACGGGGGGCAGCAGUGGGGAAUAUUGCACAAUGGGGGAAACCCUGAUGCAGCAACGCCGCGUGGGUGAAGAAGUAUUUCGGUAUGUAAAGCCCUAUCAGCAGGGAAGAGAAUGACGGUACCUGACUAAGAAGCCCCGGCUAACUACGUGCCAGCAGCCGCGGUAAUACGUAGGGGGCAAGCGUUAUCCGGAUUUACUGGGUGUAAAGGGGGCGCAGACGGCGAUGCAAGC
Molecule: ribosomal RNA, 236 nt
Filed under: uncultured bacterium
Lineage: Bacteria
Description: partial 16S ribosomal RNA
Rfam family: Bacterial small subunit ribosomal RNA
Source: RNAcentral